This 84-nucleotide transfer RNA is filed under the name Volvox carteri f. nagariensis. It matches the Rfam family "tRNA". Rfam says of the family: Transfer RNA (tRNA) molecules are approximately 80 nucleotides in length. Their secondary structure includes four short double-helical elements and three loops (D, anti-codon, and T loops). The record is from Rfam by way of RNAcentral. Lineage: Eukaryota; Viridiplantae; Chlorophyta; Chlorophyceae; Chlamydomonadales; Volvocaceae.
GCUCCUAUAGCUCAGUCGGUAGAGCGUGCGGCUGUUAAGCAGUUGGUCACCGCAAGGUCGGCAGUUCAAGCCUGUCUGGGAGCG